Mustela erminea (ermine) is the source of this 1814-nucleotide long non-coding RNA. RefSeq lists it as uncharacterized. Lineage: Eukaryota; Metazoa; Chordata; Mammalia; Carnivora; Mustelidae. The record is from RefSeq and is a predicted model, not a curated record. The transcript has 3 exons.
UGUAGAAGGUGCAGACUUUCACCCUGGGAAGCCAACAAUCUAAACAUCCUAGACUGGAGUGGCCAGUUUUGAACAAGUGACUUCAGCUUCCCAAGUGUCAGACGCAUUUACGACCUCCAAGUCUUUCUGCCAAAGAGGUAUGCCGUCUGAGUACCUGCUAUCCUGCCCUAUCACAACACAUCAUCAUAAUUUGAUUUACAAGUGAAGAUAUCAUGUCUAAGUGUAUGGAAACACUCUAAACCAUUUUUGUGAUGGAGUCCUUGAUAUCUGAAAAUACCUACUUCUGAAAAGAACCCCAAACUUGCCACCUAUGCUGUGUUUCUUCUCUUCCUUUCCAUCUCCUGCAUUUUGCUGCAUUGAGACAAGUGGUUCCACCUUCCUACCAGGCUUUCAAGAUCAACUGCAUGGGAAUAGAUUGCAUUAUUUGUAGAUGCACUCCAGUUUCCAAGACACAUCAAUUUCCAAACAAUUUUUGCCAAGGCCAAGUGGAGUCAAAAAGCAACAUCCUGAAAGGGAGCAGUUGUUCUAACCAGUUGGAGGUGACGAUUUAUCAAGAGCCGUUAAUCCGCUGCCGUGUAAAGAGCCUCCAGCACAUUUACUUUCCAUCUUGGUGAGAGUAAGAGUAAGUUCUAAUUAUGGCUUAGGGCAGUUUUCUCACCUGAUGUUAAAAAGAAAUUUGAGAAAUUGUAUGCAUUUUAAAAAGCAAUCAUCCAGUCUGGUGGUAAAGAAGACACAAUUCCACACAAAUUGUGCCUACAUAAUUCUGGGGUUUCAUGUAAAUGAUCAGAUUAUUAUUAUUUAACUAAAAUGAAAACAAUCUACUCUCAUUUAUGAGAGGAGGGAAGUAAAACUUUUACCUCGUUAAUAUCCUACUGAGAUUUGCAUAUUGCCGGCUGCAUAAAAAAGGGAUUCGGGUAGUUAUUUUAUAUUGAUUUAAUGUUCUGUUAUUAUUAACCACAACUGGCUACAAGCACAUCAAGGAAAAAUGACCUUCAAUUUUCAUGAAGACCUCAGUUCUGUCACUUAUUAAUCAGCUGUGUGUUUUUGGACAACUUACUUAACUCUGGUUACCUUAGCCUCAGUUUCCUUCUUUUAAAUAGAGUUGAUAAUAGUAUCAUGUUUUGCAAUUCACACACACACACACACACACACAACGUGGUACAUGUUAGCGAGUGAUUAGACAUAGUCUUGAUGUUCACCUUGCUCUGGGAUCCUCAAGGUUAUGCUUUUAGCCUAACCAAAGAAUAAACCCAGGGCCAAAAUAUAUAGGUCCAAACAGUAAAGUGCCCUAACAAAAAGGGAAUUUCUAUCUAAAUAGGUUUGUUCAUGCCUUCCAUUUAUGCCUCCAUGUCCCUACCCAAUGUCCAAUUCCGCUUUUUGGAUUUGUUGCCUUGUGCUAUGUGCACUGCCUUCUUCCUCAAGAAGCCCCUAAAAACAUAAAUGGUCCAGGAAAGGAUAAUUAAGGCCAUUAUCACCUUGUGAGAGUGAGUUUGUGUGUUUUUACUCCUAGACAGAAUAUCCCACAUACUAAUCCUUGGUACCUGGGAAAGGAUAAAAUGAAUCUGAAAGAGGGGCAAAAGGGCACAGGAUAUACUUUACAAUUUUGCUUGAGUAACCUUCACCAGUUAAUCAUUACGUACUAAAAACCUUCUGUAAGGAAAAUCAGGAAAAUGUUAUUUGUAGCUGCCUCUAAGGAAGGGAAGAGGGUAAGUCAAGUACAAGAGCAGGGAAACUUACUUGCACUGCCUAUCUAUCCUCUUGUACCUUUUGAAUUUGGUGCUGCAGAAAUGUAUAACCCAUCCAAAAAUUUUAAU